GCUCAUCUUCAUCAUCCUCUUCGGCUGCUGCGGCGCGGCGCUUCUUCGCCUUUGCCUUCUUGGGCUUCUUUGCACGGCCCUCAUCACUGUCGUACUCCAGAAAGUCCUCUUCCUCGUCCGCCUCCUGCAGAAAAACUUCCUUGUCAGCGCUCAUGUCAAAGCUCCUCACAUGCAGAAGUAGAAGCAGUGAUACCUAAAAGCUCGUUCCCAACUACUUCAUACAAAGGUGCCACAGAGCCACUGCAAAAUAUCUUGUCAGAGGCAAUGGAACAACCUCGCUGUUGCAGCGGCAUUGUAAAAAGCACUGUAACAGUGGUAACAGUAUGACUGUGACAGUGGCCUUGUAAGAGUCCCUAUGUAACAAUAGCAUUGUUAUAGUGCCACUGUACCACUGUAACAUAACAACAGCAGCCUCGUAACAAGAUCACCAUUGAAAACCAAGACGGCAGCACCAAGCACAACUUAAACCACAGGCAUGCCUCGCCAGAACCAUCCACUGCCAAAUCAGACAGGUAAGAGAGGAAAACAGCUCACCCUGCUGGCGCGGCGCUUGGCGGCAGCCACACUGUCGACCUGUGCUGCGGCGGUGUCAGCAGCCGCAUCGUUAUCUCCUGUCA
This 617-nucleotide long non-coding RNA is filed under the name Coccomyxa subellipsoidea. Its description in RNAcentral is "long non-coding RNA (CSUB_LNC000426)". Lineage: Eukaryota; Viridiplantae; Chlorophyta; Trebouxiophyceae; Coccomyxaceae. The record is from RNAcentral.